GUCGAACGGAAGUCGUUAUAAAAAGGAUUGAAGAUUUAUCUGAUUGAGAUCUUAUAACAAUGGCUUUAGUGGCGGACUGGUGAGUAACGCGUGAGCAACCUGCCUACUAGAGGGGAAUAACAGUGAGAAAUCAUUGCUAAUACCGCAUAUGCCAUGAACAUCACAUGAUGAAAAUGGGAAAAGAGUAAUCUGCUAGUAGAUGGGCUCGCGUCUGAUUAGAUAGUUGGUGGGGCAACGGCCUACCAAGUCGACGAUCAGUAGCCGGACUGAGAGGUUGAACGGCCACAUUGGGACUGAGAUACGGCCCAGACUCCUACGGGAGGCAGCAGUCGGGAAUAUUGCGCAAUGGAGGAAACUCUGACGCAGUGACGCCGCGUAUAGGAAGAAGGUUUUCGGAUUGUAAACUAUUGUCGUUAGGGAAGAUACAAGACAGUACCUAAGGAGGAAGCUCCGGCUAACUACGUGCCAGCAGCCGCGGUAAUACGUAGGGAGCAAGCGUUAUCCGGAUUUAUUGGGUGUAAAGGGUGCGUAGACGGGACAACAAGUUAGUUGUGAAAUCCCUCGGCUUAACUGAGGAACUGCAACUAAAACUAUUGUUCUUGAGUGUUGGAGAGGAAAGUGGAAUUCCUAGUGUAGCGGUGAAAUGCGUAGAUAUUAGGAGGAACACCGGUGGCGAAGGCGACUUUCUGGACAAUAACUGACGUUGAGGCACGAAAGUGUGGGGAGCAAACAGGAUUAGAUACCCUGGUAGUC
This 753-nucleotide ribosomal RNA is filed under the name uncultured bacterium. Its description in RNAcentral is "bacterial SSU rRNA". It matches the Rfam family "Bacterial small subunit ribosomal RNA", at positions 52 to 795 of the family's 1533-position model. The record is from RNAcentral.